Molecule: ribosomal RNA, 497 nt
Filed under: uncultured bacterium
Lineage: Bacteria
Description: partial 16S ribosomal RNA
Rfam family: Bacterial small subunit ribosomal RNA
Source: RNAcentral
GAUGAACGCUGGCGGCGUGCCUAAUACAUGCAAGUCGAGCGAACGGACGAGAAGCUUGCUUCUCUGAUGUUAGCGGCGGACGGGUGAGUAACACGUGGAUAACCUACCUAUAAGACUGAGAUAACUUCGGGAAACCGGAGCUAAUACCGGAUAAUAUUUUGAACCGCAUGGUUCAAAAGUGAAAGACGGUCUUGCUGUCACUUAUAGAUGGAUCCGCGCUGCAUUAGCUAGUUGGUAAGGUAACGGCUUACCAAGGCAACGAUGCAUAGCCGACCUGAGAGGGUGAUCGGCCACACUGGAACUGAGCCACGGUCCAGACUCCUACGGGAGGCAGCAGUAGGGAAUCUUCCGCAAUGGGCGAAAGCCUGACGGAGCAACGCCGCGUGAGUGAUGAAGGUCUUCGGAUCGUAAAACUCUGUUAUUAGGGAAGAACAUAUGUGUAAGUAACUGUGCACAUCUUGACGGUACCUAAUCAGAAAGCCACGGCUAACUACGUG